ACGUAGGUGGCAAGCGUUAUCCGGAUUUAUUGGGCGUAAAGCGAGCGCAGGCGGUUGCUUAGGUCUGAUGUGAAAGCCUUCGGCUUAACCGAAGAAGGGCAUCGGAAACCGGGCGACUUGAGUGCAGAAGAGGACAGUGGAACUCCAUGUGUAGCGGUGGAAUGCGUAGAUAUAUGGAAGAACACCAGUGGCGAAGGCGGCUGUCUGGUCUGCAACUGACGCUGAGGCUCGAAAGCAUGGGUAGCGAACAG
RNAcentral lists this ribosomal RNA (251 nucleotides) under uncultured bacterium. RNAcentral's name for it is "partial 16S ribosomal RNA". It matches the Rfam family "Bacterial small subunit ribosomal RNA", at positions 525 to 775 of the family's 1533-position model. The record is from RNAcentral.